RNAcentral lists this ribosomal RNA (497 nucleotides) under uncultured bacterium. RNAcentral's name for it is "partial 16S ribosomal RNA". It matches the Rfam family "Bacterial small subunit ribosomal RNA", at positions 28 to 507 of the family's 1533-position model. The record is from RNAcentral.
GAUGAACGCUGGCGGCGUGCCUAAUACAUGCAAGUCGAGCGAACGGACGAUAAGCUUGCUUCUCUGAUGUUAGCGGCGGACGGGUGAGUAACACGUGGAUAACCUACCUAUAAGACUGGGAUAACUUCGGGAAACCGGAGCUAAUACCGGAUAAUAUUUUGAACCGCAUGGUUCAAAAGUGAAAGACGGUCUUGCUGUCACUUAUAGAUGGAUCCGCGCUGCAUUAGCUAGUUGGUAAGGUAACGGCUUACCAAGGCAACGAUGCAUAGCCGACCUGAGAGGGUGAUCGGCCACACUGGUACUGAGACACGGUCCAGACUCCUACGGGAGGCAGCAGUAGGGAAUCUUCCGCAAUGGGCGAAAGCCUGACGGAGCAACGCCGCGUGAGUGAUGAAGGUCUUCGGAUCGUAAAACUCUGUUAUUAGGGAAGAACAUAUGUGUAAGUAACUGUGCACAUCUUGACGGUACCUAAUCAGAAAGCCACGGCUAACUACGUG